CAAAAACAUGUCUUUUUGCAUUUUAUAUAAAGUCUAACCUGCCCACUGAUUAUUAAAUGGCCGCAGUACACUAACUGUGCAAAGGUAGCAUAAUAAUUAGUCUUUUAAUUGAAGGCUGGAAUGAACGGUUGGACGAGAUAUUAGCUGUUUCAUUUAAAUUUAUAUUAGAAUUUUAUUUUUUAGUCAAAAAGCUAAAAUAACAUUAAAAGACGAGAAGACCCUAUAAAGCUUCAUAAAAAAUAAUCUUUAAAGAAAAAGGUUCUGUUCAAUAAUUUUUAUAUUUUUAUUUUGUUGGGGUGAUGUUAAAAUUUAAUAAACUUUUAAUUUUAUUUCCAUUAAUUUAUGAGCUAUUGAUCCGUUAAUUACGAUUAAAAAAUUAAGUUACUUUAGGGAUAACAGCGUAAUUUUUUUGGAGAGUUCAUAUCGAUAAAAAAGAUUGCGACCUCGAUGUUGGAUUAAGAGAUAAGUUUAGGCGCAGCAGUUUAAAUGUUAAGUCUGUUCGACUUUUAAUUUCUUAC
This 518-nucleotide ribosomal RNA is filed under the name Euthycera chaerophylli. RNAcentral describes it as "partial 16S ribosomal RNA". It matches the Rfam family "Bacterial large subunit ribosomal RNA", at positions 1808 to 2599 of the family's 2925-position model. Lineage: Eukaryota; Metazoa; Arthropoda; Insecta; Diptera; Sciomyzidae. The record is from RNAcentral.